RNAcentral lists this unclassified non-coding RNA (350 nucleotides) under fungal sp. Its description in RNAcentral is "partial internal transcribed spacer region". Lineage: Eukaryota; Fungi. The record is from RNAcentral.
AAUUCGCCGUAGGUGAACCUGCGGAAGGAUCAUGAACACGUAUCCAACGUUAAAACCCCCCUGUGAACUAUUGCCGUGCUCUCGUAGACCUUCUGGUAAAUCAGCGUUUGAUUGAGGGACCUCUGUUUGAGAGGGUACGAAUGUUGCGCUGGCUUGCUCUCCCCAAGCAGUUCGUGGGUGCAAGUGCCACUUUCUGUGCAAGGAACACGCUUUACGGUCACUGGAGGUCGCGACCGGUGGACAAGUCUCAGGGCCAAAAGCCCCCUAAUCACCCCACAGUUUCUUACGAGCUAGCGAUCAAAUCCGCUGGUCAAAAAAACCCCGAACAAACAAUGGAUAUCUUGGUUGAC